UACAGAGGGUGCGAGCGUUAAUCGGAAUUACUGGGCGUAAAGCGUGCGUAGACGGUUCUGUAAGUCGGAUGUGAAAUCCCCGGGCUCAACCUGGGAAUUGCAUUCGAGACUGCAAAGCUUGGGUGCGGAAGAGGGAAGCGGAAUUUCCGGUGUAGCGGUGAAAUGCGUAGAUAUCUGGAGGAACACCGGUGGCGAAGGCGGCAUCCUGGACCGAUACUGACGCUGAGGAGCGAAAGCCAGGGGAGCAAACGGG
RNAcentral lists this ribosomal RNA (253 nucleotides) under uncultured bacterium. RNAcentral's name for it is "partial 16S ribosomal RNA". It matches the Rfam family "Bacterial small subunit ribosomal RNA", at positions 524 to 776 of the family's 1533-position model. The record is from RNAcentral.